Molecule: long non-coding RNA, 6854 nt
Organism: Falco peregrinus (peregrine falcon)
Lineage: Eukaryota; Metazoa; Chordata; Aves; Falconiformes; Falconidae
Exons: 21
Source: RefSeq, a predicted model, not a curated record
CUUCCCUAAGGCCUUGUCAGCUUCCCCGGGUCCCGGCGGCUACCAAGGGCAGGGGAAAAGGCAAAAGAAGGGGGGGGAGGGGAAGGGAGCCGGGGACCGGGGCUGGGGAGGGGAAGGGGGGAGCGCGCGGGACAGGGCGAGUCUCCGAGUCACCACAGCAGAAGCAGCAACCCAACACUUCCCUCCGCCACCUCCAUAGAGAGCCGGCUCGCUGCCGCGUCUAAAGCGCACCGAGGCAGCCCCACUAACUUUAUUACCCUUCACGCAACCUAGCCCACCUCUCGCCAACAACCGCCAAUCGCCGCCAAGGGCUCCGCCCGUCUUGCCAAUCACAGCCGAGAAAGGGGGUGGCCUUAAGAGCUAAGUGGGCGGAGGAGGGAGGAAGUUUGGUUGAACUGUGCAACCGCCGCAGUGCAGCAUCCGUAUUCGCGAAAGCCGUUACGCCACGGGCUUGGCGGUAGGGCCUAGGAGGGAAGGGAAAUUUGCGCAAGUGGCGUACCCGGUUAAUGGCGGCAGUGUGGCUGCCACUCUCCUUCGCUGUUUGCUCCUGUACUUCAACCAUCACAGAGCCCCAGUUCUAGAGGCCUAGCGUGUGAGUUACAGUUGAUCCUGCCACGUUCUUGGAAAGAUCUUUACAGGACAGAAGGGUCUCACAAGUUACAAGUUUUCAUCAAGAUCAAGGAUAUUUGAACAGCAAACACACCCUAGUUGGGUGAUAUUUGGCAUCUGUCAAGUUGAAGCUCCUGCAUAAGACUAGAAAAUUAGGUGUUACAGAAGUAAUUGAUUUCCAAGUGCAUGGUCAUGUUUAUGAAGUCUUGAGAAGACAUAUUUUCAUGGAUUUCUAUUCCAGAAGGCAGCAGUAUGUAUUUAAAUUAAAAAAAAAAAAAAAAAGUUUGAAGAAUAAAAAGAGGAAAAAGCAAAAGCAGAUUAAGUAGAGAUUGAGCGAGUGUGACAGAACAAUGUUACGCUGUUGACUACUCAACAGCAGGUUUGAUGAGAGCAGGCCUUCAUGAAUGCUGGUUUUCUGAUGGCUCAUAAAAGUAGAGGGAUAAUCUCACAUCCUGCUAUUCCAAAUAAAGGAAAAUAUUUAAACUGAAGAAGAAUCUCAACAGCCUUAAAUACUUUUGGUGAUAGAGCUGAGCACCUGCAUCCAUUGGAGGCAAAAAAUUCAGAACACAAUGUACGCCAAGCAAUGAAAAAGCCUCAAGCACAUCCGGUAUCACUGUGUUUCACAGAUUAAUGGAAAAAACUAAGCUGCAACGUGCACAGAGAAAGAAUACCAUUAUUCAGCAGAUGGUAACAAAUACUGUGGAAGAAUUUCAAGCCUGGAGCUGUAGUAGGAAGCAAAAAUGAGAUGUUUUGGUACUUGAGGGUGUUAGCUUCGAGCCACCUUUCUCCCUGUUAACAAGUGAACUAACGCAAGACCCUGUACCACAGUGAAGGUGCAACUGUACCAGCUACCACCAUCCUCAGCAGUUCGUGAAGGUGAUAUGCCUCCUCCAGAAGACUGAAGAGAAUCAUGAAAUUAUGCCUAAAGAUAAUGUAAAGUCAGAUCCAAAAUGCUUCUAAAGGAAGAAGACAUUCUUUUUGUUGGUUUAAGCAGACCUUGGAUCAAGCUUGUUACUAACAAACAUCAGAACUUGAACACAUGAGCAAAGUGCUAAUCCCAAUUCUAGAUUGCCAUCUGAUUCCUGUGGUUUUCUUAGGUAGGCAGUGAGGAACUGAAAUCUCAGUGGACGGUGGCAUUCAGGCCUUUCAGUGCAUUGUCCUGUAAAGAGACUCAUUCCUUAUUAAAGAAGAUACAAGACCUAGAAAGAUUCACAUAUGCCUAGCUCCUUGGAGAAGAUAAAAUAAGACCAAGUUAAGUGGGAAGAUUUCCUUAUCAAACUAAAUAGCAGCCAGACUCAAAUUAAGUAUUAGAAAUUGUUUUCUAGAAACGUGCUACUGUGAGCUGUUGACAGUCUGGACACACCAGCUAGCUCCCUGCUCAUGGUCAGUAAUGGCAGCAGAAAUUUUAGAAUAAUUGGCAUGAAUGAAAUGAAGAAAGUUCCCAAGUUACCAACCAAUUACCAGAGAAAAAUGGAAAAGCACAUGUGCCUUUUCUGUCUGCAUUAUUUCAGACUCAUUUAUUUUCUUGGUAUAACAUUUCUAUUUUAUUUCAUGGUAACAUGAAUUCUCCUUCCUUCCUCUCCUUAAAAUUUAUAGUUAAUCCUAAAUUAUAAUUACACUUCUUUUAAAUGCCUCUGGAAAAAUCUUAUAGAAUUGGAUGAGAAUCAAAUACAAUUAUUGUUGAAUUAAUUCUGUGGGAACAGAUAAGGUUUUAUAAUAUAUUUUACUGAUGACACAACUUGAUUUUUUUCAGUGCUAACUGUAGUUGAACACAGCUAGCUGGUCAAAAGGAGCACUGUUUCUUACCAUUUUCAUGAACUGGAAUUUAUUGCUUGUUUGCUGGAUGAAGAUUACAACAAAGCGAUAGGUCUGGAAUAUGGUCCUAUGUGCAGUAAAUUUGUACAAGGAAACCACAGAGCUAUGAAAAAGCUUUUCUGAAAACCCUGAAUUUUGUUUUUGUGUUCUCAGCCAUUUCUAGUUUUUGGGAUAUAUUUAAAAACAGUGUAUAUCUUCAUCCUUCCAUUGGAUUUAGAAAUGCUUCUGUCCCAAAUUCUAUAUAUGACAUGCAUUUCUGUCACAGUCAUAACAGGAAGCCAUUUACAUGGUUGUUCCUGCUAGGGUUGUUCAGUAUUAUUUUGGAAGUGUAAAGGAGUCAUCUGGUUAUGUGUGAUUUUGUUGAUAGUGAUGAAACAUGCCCUUUUCUGAGACAGAUUACGCCUUCUUGCUUGUACACCUGUUAAUGUCCCUUCAGUCUUACCUUGGUGUAGUUUCACUGUAUUACUCUAAUCAGGAACCUUUCAUUUUGCUCCUGGCAGUGCUAAGAAAUGCAAAUAUUCAAAUUUGAUGUGGCAGCUUAGUUACCUGCAUGUUGCUGACAUCUUAGGAUAUAGCCCAUGGGCCUGUCUGAACACAGAGGAUAAUACAGGGAAGAAACCUAGGUGUGUGGAGCGCACAUCUGGACAGUUCUGGAGGAGAUGACUCUGUUAUGCCAGACCGAAAGACCACAUACAUGAGCAUCUGUGACCAAAAGUGAAGGCUGUAAGGGUCUGUCCUUUACCAUCUUACAUGUCAGAGGGCCUUUGGAACAUCAAACUAUUUCUUACCUGAUUCAAUCUGACAAAGGUGAAACAUAGUUAUCAUCUUGGAUACAAACUGCACCACAGCAGAAGCUGAGUUUACAGUUUUCAUCUUUAUCAUCUAAACAUCAAACAUGCUCCACGUUAGCCACUCUGUGACUGUGGUAGUUGAGGGGAGGUGUCUUUGUAACCGAAAAUAGCAAACAGAUUGGUUUUGAUAUAUCACUGGAGCUGGAAUAAUUCAUUAAAGAGUGAACCUGUUGGCCUCAAGCACUUCCCAGACCUGUUAGAAGCCAUUUCAGAACAACUGAUUGAACGUGGUGUUCCAUUCUGCCAAGCAGUGAGUCCAAAUGUGGUAUGACUUUUUUUUCUUGAGAUGACUGGCCUUCACCGUUUUCUUCCUCAGGACAAGCAAAAGGUGAGUACUCUAGUUCCUUGGAAAGCUGUCUUUACACUGGGAGCAGAAUGUCAACAUUUCUCUCUCUUGCAACUUAAUCUGAACUCAAGGAAGAAUUUGGCCCAGUGGAUUUCUAAUAUUCUUUCUGAGAUGAGCGAUUUGGAGACUAUUUUUGUCACUUGUGGAAUAGCAUUUGUUCUAAGCCACAAAAGAAACAAAACCCGCUUUUCUCAUUUUGGAGGAGGGGUGGAAGCAUGGAGGUGAUAUCCAGAGGUGGUAUCACAGUUCUGCUGCUGGAUCCUGAAGUACCAGAACAAAAACCCAGGACAGACGGUAGUAAUAUCUCUCUUGAGCUGCUGGUCAGAAAGGCAAAUCCAAGUGAACUUUCAAGAUCUUAAAAUGAGCAAUGUUACCAUGGAAGAUACAACAGACACAUGUCCAUGACUGGAUAUUUGCUUGUAAGUGAUACAGAAGAUAAGAAAUCUCUACAAGAGCAGGCUGAAAUGCAGAGCUGAGUUGACUGACAAGCAAAACUGAGUGAAGAAAUCACAAACUGUUCUGCAGGAAAAGAACAAUUGAUGCUUGCAGAUAUUGACAUGAAUGUCCUCUUUGCUUGUACAUUCUGACCUAGGGACCUUAAGGACCUGUUGGUUGCACUGGCGUUUUUUUCCCAUCCUUGCAAGUUGAGACCCUGCUAAGUUAUUGAGAAGGCAUCACUUUGUGAGGAGACUGGAGAGAGAUAAAAAGGUCAAGAAGGGAAUCCUCCUCCUGGUGUUACAGUGAACUGCUGGCUCAGAAUAGAGCUCAUUUCUGUGCAACAGCAAGCAUUGACCAUUGUCUGAGGCAGUCUUCUAGAUGAGCUGAGGAACGCAGAACCCAAGAAGUGACUGGUCCAGUAAUGCAAAGGAGGAACAGAGAACAGAUCUCCUGAAACCCAGCAACUUCAUUUGCAAGUGACUGGACAGAGGAACGUGCUGUAGGCUGCUCUAAGACAACCAACCAAUCCCAUGGACAAAUCCUGCAUGUCCACGUCCCAUGGACAGGAGGGAAAAGGAGGAUGCCAGCACACAGACAUUCCACUGCCAGCACUAACCAGGCUUCCUAGGAUCAGGUACUAAAUUGGUCCAGUGCAUCCCAGCUCCUUUCACAUGCAACCCUACAGGCACCAACGCUUGUUUCCUCACGGUUUACUGUGUAAGGUAAGAGUGAGCAUCUGGUGCCUCAGUAAUCACAUCCUCCCAUGCAGCUGGAGAAGGAAAACAGCUCGCUUGUAGCACACUGGCUCUAUCACCAGCAACAAUAAAGUGUGUUCCCCAAAGCUGAGAACAUGCUGGGAGGGGAAAAAAGUGAAAAACAAACCCCAAAACAUAAGGGAGCAUACAUGGAGAGCACAGUUCUUGCUUCUGAGACUUGAAAAAAAACUUUCCUUUGGGUUUUAAGUGCUUUUCUGAAUCUAUUUAUCUAAGUAGUUAUGAUGCAGGAAUCACCCUGGUAUCUGAGAUCCCCGUUUGAAACCCUUGGUAUUUCAGAUCCACCCACAGAGAUCCCAAGGCGGCAGUCACAGCACACUGCCAAAUGACUCUUAACUCCUUUAGAUUAUUAGCUCUCAAAGACUAAACCCUUUAGAAACAUCUGGCUACGGGGCUUCUCAGAGAUCUGGGAAUUGUUCCAUGGAAAAAAACAGGUCCUGUGGUUAACAUUUUAGAAUAACAUAUUUCAUGGAAAGGCCGACUGUUUUAACUGAAUACAUUUCUAUUACCUACACAGCCCAUUACCAGUGCACUGGUUCAUCAGCUUCCAGACAGAGAAUUACUCCUGCAGUCAGCCACUUGCGUACCAGUAUUUGGCCAUGCUAUCUGUCUGUCCUCUCCGCAUGUUUCUCACAAUGACAUCUCAACGUCUUUUUGCUUAAGCUGAAACUAGGUUUGAUUUGAAAAUUGCCCCUCUUUGGUCUUUCACCUUUCAUUUGAUUUUGAGGUAAGCAAAGAUGAAACAGAAUAUUGCCGUCCAAUCUGAUAUCCAAGUUUGAUCUAAUCCAUCCCAGCCUUUCUCAUCCACCAUUUCUUUGCUCCCUGCCUACUGCAAGUCUGUAUCGGAAGUGUCCCACAAGGGUUAAAUUAUUUUUUAGGUUGCUGCUUUACACUGAAUACUCGCUCUUUCUGCUAAUGUUUCUAUACCAAGCAGAGCCUGCAUUGCUUCUAACCUUUUGAUGUAAAAAAAUAAAAAAGGAUUCCCACUAACGAUGUAGGUUUUCCUUGGACUGACUAAUUCAAUGGCAGUGCUUGGGACUAUAAUUUUGUACUGUGUUUUCCUCUUUCCCUUAAAAAGGUCAAAGGCUUUCCUUAAACAUGCACCUGCUUCCUACUGCUCUAGAGUCAGUUCAGUACUUAACAAAGUUUAGCAUGGGAAAGAAAAAGGAAUUCCCAGGUCAUUGGAGCUCUUCCCCUGAUUCUCGGCAGCAGGCCUCGCAUGAUGAACACAAAGAUGCUUAGAACAGCUUCAAAUUACACAACUGAUUUGGGAUACUCGAGCACAUGUCACGCUGUCAGACAAAACAGAGCCCCAACACUGUUAAGUCCUUCCCUAUUUUCCACGUGGCAAAAGACAGAAGCUGGGUGAACACUUGAAUGUACCCAGCUGUAAGUCACAGACGCCAUCUGACAGGAAAACCUUCUGAUGGUCACAUAGGUGCCACACUGUCUCUGAACAUCCUGUAGCAAUUACUAGGCAACGACCAGAAUCCAGCUUUACAAGCCUGUUACAACUGUGAAAACUAAGCUGUUUCCCAGUAUAUUUUAAAUAAGUAUGAGGGCAUGUGUGUGUUUAUUUGGUUUUCUGCAGUGGUGAGAAAUACAAAUGAAGGUUCUUUGUGCUACAGGUUCUGUACAUACAUACUGAUAGAUUUCUCCCAACAACAGAGGCAUCUCGUUACAUUGCAGGAGAGGCUACCACCAUUAAAAGCUGAUUUAGUGCUUGCCAUUUCCAGCUUUUAACUCUGCACUACGGUUUGACAGCAGUAGCCUUUGUGAAGAUGAAGAGAGUAUAAUCUACAUUGCAAUUUAUUCAAGCAGUUCAGUGCAAUGAUUAGUACAUUUGUGGUGGGAAAAUGACUGGAGAUUGAAGUAGUAAGAAAACUCGUUAUUCCUCUUCAAGACUAUACAAAACAUCAGUUUUAGCAGUACAACAUCUACCAUGAAAACACCUUGAUGCACUUUGUGACCUGAAGAAACUGGUUCAAUCCACUCACUGCAUUUAUUUUUCCUUUGUUUAAU